RNAcentral lists this ribosomal RNA (472 nucleotides) under uncultured bacterium. RNAcentral describes it as "bacterial SSU rRNA". It matches the Rfam family "Bacterial small subunit ribosomal RNA", at positions 335 to 798 of the family's 1533-position model. The record is from RNAcentral.
ACUCCUACGGGAGGCAGCAGUAGGGAAUCUUCCACAAUGGACGAAAGUCUGAUGGAGCAACGCCGCGUGAGUGAAGAAGGGUUUCGGCUCGUAAAACUCUGUUGUUAAAGAAAGAACAUAUCUGAGAGUAACUGUUCAGGUAUUGACGGUAUUUAACCAGAAAGCCACGGCUAACUACGUGCCAGCAGCCGCGGUAAUACGUAGGUGGCAAGCGUUGUCCGGAUUUAUUGGGGCGUAAAGCGAGCGCAGGCGGUUUUUAAGUCUGAUGUGAAAGCCUUCGGCUCAACCGAAGAAGUGCAUCGGAAACUGGGAAACUUGAGUGCAGAAGAGGACAGUGGAACUCCAUGUGUAGCGGUGAAAUGCGUAGAUAUAUGGAAGAACACCAGUGGCGAAGGCGGCUGUCUGGUCUGUAACUGACGCUGAGGCUCGAAAGUAUGGGUAGCAAACAGGAUUAGAUACCCUGGUAGGAUAG